This is a long non-coding RNA of Lolium perenne, 2114 nucleotides long. RefSeq lists it as uncharacterized. The record is from RefSeq and is a predicted model, not a curated record. NCBI's taxonomy places the organism in Eukaryota, Viridiplantae, Streptophyta, Magnoliopsida, Poales, Poaceae.
AUCUCUCUCGCCUCACCGCUACUACAGCGGUACAGCCUCGCGUCGCGAACCACGCGGGCGUCGCCCUCGCGGGGCUGACCGCCGACGGCCGCGUCAACCCACGGUUUCAUCUACAAACGCCUCAGAUGGCCUCUAGUGGCGGCGGCGGGCCGUCUUUGCCGCGACUGCCGGCCUCUCUGUCGCCAGAUCGGGUUGCACACGGCCUCCCUGCCACCGGAUUCAUCCGCUCCGGCGUCGCUGCCGGCUCCGUGACCUGCUGAGUUCACCGAGUCCACUUGGUGUCUGACGGUGUUCCGCCACGGGCUUCCUCGUCCGUCGUGGCUCCGCGUCGUGGCGCUCACCACGGUCUCCCUUCGUGAGGUCAGGCGGCCACGUUCUUGGCGCAUAUACAUGAGAUCCACAGCCCAGGCGACCUCCACUGCCGAGGAUUGUUGUGCUGGUCCUCUCCAAUUACUUUAUUUUGUCAAAAUGGUCUUGUGCUUCAAACAGCUAUUAGAAACCUUCUAGAUGUCAUUGAUGCAUGCGCACAUCAGUAGCUUUAGAAGGACUAUGGACUGCGAAAUUAGGAACUAUUUUGUUCAUUGAUUUUGUGAUUGGACCAUAACUUAAUGGAGAGCAGCUAACAGCAAACACUUCUACUCUGCUUUCGUAUCAUAAGAACUCUAGUAAUAACUUGCAGUCUUGCACCAUAUUAGUCUGAUAUGAAUGAGCUAUUCAAAGGUUCUCAAAUGCCUGCUAUGUGUUCUGCAUGGUCUGUACAUAGUUCUGCUUGUACAAGAAUCAAUUGUCCUGAUAUUUUCUGUUUUAAUCCUUUGUCAUACAGCAAUUUCUAUCAACUCAGUUGUAUAGAGGAGAUUUAUGAGAUUGCUAACCAUUGCUAUGUUAUGAUGACAGCUUGUUUGUUUAGCAAUGUUCAUCGAAGUAACUGAUGCAAAUGAUAGCUUUGAUCCCAACUAGGUAUGUUUAUGCAUGUUUACGAAACAUGCUUGGAUUUACUCUGUUUUUCACCGUCAAUAGUCCUAAUUGGGUUUAUACAAGUUGCUGGCCUUUAUUUUGCUUUGACACAGUUGACCCACAGUAACAACAGAAUCAUAAGUUCGUACAUAGUUGUACUUGUUCACUUUCUGACAUAAUGCUUUUAGCUCAGGCUAUAAUACUUCAUCCGUGGUUGCAUGUGUUCUUUUAUCUUUUUUUUCAUCUCCAUUGUGUUUGUUCACCUGCCUUAACCUAUUUUAAUUGCUAGUUUUCGUUCGAUAACUUGUACUGGUCAGCUUUUUUUUUAUGCAAAAUGAAUUUCUGAUGCUGAUCUCUGUAUCAGUUGCUGCUAUUCUUUUAGCUGUACAGGCUACCGAAACAUACUUUUUUGGGCUACUGACAGUGUUUCUCAUGAAAUUGAAUGUCUUCAGUUCUGUUUAAUGCUUAAAUUGGGUUGGAUCUCCUUAAGUUUCUAACUCUGUAUAAAUCAGGAGAGGAUGUGCUACUGUUGACCUAUUACCAGCUGCAAUCUAACUUUAUCAUGAUUAUUGUUAAGCUCCAAUCUGCUGCACUACUAUUCAGUUCUCAUCCCAGUUUUGAUUACCCUGAAUCAUAUAUUCUUUUCUAUGCUUACAGUCCCAGUUCUCAUGGCCAACUCUAUAUGUUGUUCGUAUGCAGGAGAGGAAGUGUAGUGCAUCCUUAUUGGAGUUCUGGUCAACCAUCUGUGUCGAGUUUGGCACCCUCAGCAUCCAUGUUGACGACAAGGUCUUCGAGGCCCAGAUCUGUGACACUGUUGGACAUGAAAGGAUUUGUGGAAUUUUUUGCCUCGUCAGACAAAGCAUAAAAGUGCCUUUGCGCCUCCCUCGACCUCUACAACCAGUUGAUCGCGUGAGUUCCCUGUCACUUUCCCUUGAUGUGCACUAAUGCUGGGAUCUGCAGCGAAGUGACUCUAGGAACAUAAGGAAGCUACAGGAACUACAGGCUGAAGAAUUUCACUCGAAGUGUGAAGCCUUUGCAAAUAUCAGCUGUUGUAUUGUGAUACCUUAGGGUUACACUAUUUUUGAUGUUUACCUCUUUUCCCACAGUAAUAUUGUAAUACAUUUAGCUAUUAUGUGAGAAGUGAUAUUCCCUUCAGUUGA